AGCAGCCCCUAACCUUGAUGGUUUCCAAAGCAAGAGCCAACAUAUCGGUUUCACAUAUCUGCUGCAACAUGGGGAGAUCAUGGAGAUGGAUACGCUUGAGCCUUGGGAACUUUAUGGUGGUAGCUCGUCCCCCUCUCUAUGGUUCCCCCUUUGGAAAAAUCUGUCCAAGUUCACCGCAAUAUGUGAUAUGGAUGAUUUCCAAGCUAGGUAGGGUGGCGAAGGACCAG
Molecule: long non-coding RNA, 227 nt
Filed under: Setaria italica (foxtail millet)
Lineage: Eukaryota; Viridiplantae; Streptophyta; Magnoliopsida; Poales; Poaceae
Description: long non-coding RNA (SITA_LNC003738)
Source: RNAcentral